RNAcentral lists this long non-coding RNA (996 nucleotides) under Rattus norvegicus (Norway rat). Its description in RNAcentral is "long non-coding RNA NONRATT012594". Lineage: Eukaryota; Metazoa; Chordata; Mammalia; Rodentia; Muridae. The record is from RNAcentral.
UAAGUGCCCUACUAAAGUGGUCUUGCUGAGGGUAAGAAGUAAAAAAACCUGUCCCUUGAUUCUGUGUCACCUGUCCACCUGUCUUUACAGGCGUUCACAAAGUCCUACUGGUACCCUAUAAAAUACUGACGGUAUGGGCUGGAGCAGUGGCUCCGUGGUUCAGGGCCUGGGGUGCUCCUGCAGAGGACCCGAGCUUGAUUCCCGCACCCACAUGGUGGCCCACUGCUGACUAUAACUCCAGUUCCUGGGGAUUUACCCUCCUCUGGCCUCUUGAGGGCACCAGGCACUCAAAUGGUACACAGACAUACAUUCAGGCAACGCCCAUACAUUAAAAUAAAUAAGUAAUUAAUUUUUGGAAAGAAUACUGAAAUGAUACUUUUGCAAGUAAUACCUUUGGGUAGAUCCUUACAGACGGGUUCUAGGUUAUCCUCCCAGUAAAGUAUUACAUUGAAACUGCAGUGACUAAUUAGUUAAAAUGGUUAGAGAUUUCUGAAGCACUCUCUUAGGUCUUCGGUGCACAGAUACUCUUGUAUCUUUUCAGAGCUUCCUGACUGUUUACAGAAAUUCUAGCUUAAGUACUUUAGAGGCAGAAUUUUCCAUUCUGUCUUUUGGGAGUAGAACAUAUUCCACUUCUAGGAUGGGGCUCAGUGUUGGAGCACUUCCCAGUAUGUGCAAGGUUCUAGUUCUGGUAGGGUAGAAGGGAGAGACAUUUGCCUUUAUAAAAGAAAAUGUUAUUUCUGAAGACAUUUGUAAAUUAUGCUUGUAUUUGUUUCUCUGUAUAUAGAACAUGGUCGGUGCAGGAGAGGUCGAUGAAGACUUGGAAGUUGAAACCAAGGAAGAAUGUGAAAAAUAUGGCAAAGUUGGGAAAUGUGUGAUAUUUGAGAUUCCUGGUGCCCCUGAUGAUGAAGCAGUACGGAUAUUUCUAGAAUUUGAGAGAGUCGAAUCGGCAAUUAAAGCUGUUGUCGAUCUGAAUGGGAGGUAUUUUGGUGGACGGGU